Benincasa hispida (wax gourd) is the source of this 403-nucleotide long non-coding RNA. RefSeq lists it as uncharacterized. The record is from RefSeq and is a predicted model, not a curated record. NCBI's taxonomy places the organism in Eukaryota, Viridiplantae, Streptophyta, Magnoliopsida, Cucurbitales, Cucurbitaceae.
AUAAGGUAUGCUUCCUUCUUUUCUUAUAAUUGAAUUAAGAUAUGUCGCUAACAUUUUCUUGUUUUUUUAGGUCGUCAACCGAUAAUUCUGCCCCCUAGUUGUGGACUGUCUUCACCAUCGCUCACUCCGAACAUAAACAAAGGGGCCCAAACUAAACGAACAUACCUUUCGUAACUAGUUUGAAGUUUGGAAUGAUCUUCGUUAAUGUCUAUUCUUUCUUUCUUCUACUUGUUGAGGACUCUUUACUUCAAAUGUAUCAUUGUUAUGUAUUUUGGACUUGUAUGUUGGACAUUUUCCCACAUUUUCUCCCUUGUGAGAAUGUGAAAUUUUUUUCCCUCUGUUUCUUAAAGAAGACUAUGUCGAGCUCAAAGUUAUUAGAAAAAUAUUAUGUUGUAUUGUUAAA